UACGGAGGGGGCUAGCGUUGUUCGGAAUUACUGGGCGUAAAGCGCGCGUAGGCGGCUUUGUAAGUUAGAGGUGAAAGCCCAGGGCUCAACUCCGGAACUGCCUUUAAAACUGCUUCGCUAGAAUCAGGGAGAGGUGAGUGGAAUUCCGAGUGUAGAGGUGAAAUUCGUAGAUAUUCGGAAGAACACCAGUGGCGAAGGCGGCUCACUGGACCUGUAUUGACGCUGAGGUGCGAAAGCGUGGGGAGCAAACAGG
This 253-nucleotide ribosomal RNA is filed under the name uncultured bacterium. Its description in RNAcentral is "partial 16S ribosomal RNA". It matches the Rfam family "Bacterial small subunit ribosomal RNA", at positions 524 to 776 of the family's 1533-position model. The record is from RNAcentral.